CUUAAUUUCCCUAUUUUUUCAUAAGCAAUGACUAUUGGAGUUGCAUAAUCUUGAAUUUGUUAGCAAGACAACUGUGUUUUGAGUAUGAAAAUUGGAUAUUUCUACUUUUUUGGACCCGCAUUAUAGGUUUGUGGAGUGCAUAGGUGUGGGUGUCCAAGAAAUGUUUCUAGGUUGUUAUCGGGUAUUCAGAUUCGAUUGAUUUUUUUUUUUUCCAAGUUUGACCUCAAAUAUGGCUUUAUGCUAAUUUUGUUUAUGAGUUCAACUCCUGAUUUAUCUACUUAACCUGAAAUAUUUUAUCUUCAAGUUAGGGAUAAUAAGUUUAUUGGGUUGUUAUUUUUUUUUUUUUUUUAUUUAAUUUUUUUUCGUCCUACAUCCACCUAAUUUUUUAUUGCCUGCGAGGGGCGGACCUUUAGAGGGGGCUACACUGGGCCUGGCCACUGGUAACUUUUGGAAAAAAAAUUUAAGGCCCAAUAAAAAAAAUAAAAAAAAAAAGAAAAAGCUGAAAGUUUCGAAAGAACAGAAACACUGAAAGUCUAAAACAGCAAAGAUGAAACAUUGAAACUCAUUAACCCAAGAAAAGAAGUGCUCGUCCAGUAGAUCGAUCUCAUCGUCCUCAAGUCACCAGUCGCCUCACCGUCGCGGCGUCGCUGCCUGCCAGCCUCACGGAGUUACGGCCUCAGUCUUCAAUUGUUCUUUGCUUAAUUGCUUACGCUUUUCGUUGAAUCCGUUCGACCUUCAACUUCAACCGUUCUUCAAUAGUUCAAUUCGGUCAUCAAUUCGUUGCCUCAAUCCAUGAAUCAGGAUAGGAAGGAUUGAAGGAAAGCUCGCUGCCGCGUUGAUUGCAAUCUCCAACCUUUAACAGCCCAAGCCAAGGUUAUCAAUUCGGUGGUUGUGGCUCCAACUGUUGUUGCAAAUAUUGCUCGAGAUUGGUGUUGUGCAAAUGUUGCUUGUGAUUAUCUUCUCUCUUGAGAAAUGCUCAUCAGUUGCUCUGCUUGUGAUUUGCUAUGCUUAGUUUUAAAAAAACCCAUUUCUUUUACAUUCUGGCUUACUGUAAUACUGAUAUCGUUCGCCAAUAUUUCUUCCAGUACGUGAGAAAAAUAUCUAUUUUUGGUCACCAUGUAUUUCUUGAUUGAUCUAUUUGAGUCAUGGUUGUAUAAAUAUGAUAUACUAAUUAAUUUGUGCUAUUAUUCAUGCUUUAGAUGUCGAUAGUCCUAUUACAAUAAUUUAUAAUAAAAAUGGAGUUAAUUUAUAAGAGAAUUCGAUUUGUAACA
Molecule: long non-coding RNA, 1271 nt
Organism: Chenopodium quinoa (quinoa)
Lineage: Eukaryota; Viridiplantae; Streptophyta; Magnoliopsida; Caryophyllales; Amaranthaceae
Exons: 3
Source: RefSeq, a predicted model, not a curated record